This is a long non-coding RNA of Cyprinus carpio carpio, 1790 nucleotides long. The record is from Ensembl. Lineage: Eukaryota; Metazoa; Chordata; Actinopteri; Cypriniformes; Cyprinidae.
AUGAGGCUGAUGGAACCAUUCCUAGACAAGGGCAGAAAUGUUACCACGGACAAUUUCUUCACAUCGCUGUCACUUGCGCAUAAACUUCUUAGCCGGAAAACCACGAUCCUCGGCACAGUCAACAAGAUUCGCCAGGAAAUCCCUCAAUCCGCUAGACACACAGAUCGCAAUGAAUUCACCACUCAGGUGUUUUCAACCACUGCUGCUACGCUGACGGCGUAUGCGCCCAAACGGAAGAAGACCGUCUACAUUCUUAGCAGCAUGCACAGCGUGAUUCAGACUGAUAAUACCACCAAAAGGAAGCCAAACACUGUCACCCUUUACAACACCACAAAGUGCGGCGUGGAUGUGAUGGACCAGAUGGUGCGGGAGUACACUGUCCGCACAGGGACACGGCGCUGGCCAGUUGCCGUGUUCUAUAACAUGAUUGACAUGGCAGCACUGAAUGCACAUGUGCUGUAUCAAGCAUGCACCGGAAGGCAGGAAAGACGGGUGGACUUCCUGGUGGAGCUUGCAAGAGAGUUGGCUAACUCUCAUAUGUGUGCGAAGAAGGCAAGAAAAGAACAAUUGCUUCGGACACAACCCUCCACACCUAGCCCUGGAAAAAGAGCCAUGUGUCAGGUCAAACACCAAUGCAAGAACAAUCAUGCCACUGUGCGAUGUGUUCACUGCUACAGAUACACAUGUGGUAAAUGCAGACGGGAGAUACCAUGGCAGUGCCAGGAUUGUGAGUGAUUGCUGGAAUGUACUCACUCACUUUUUAAUAUUAUUUGUAAAUAUGUGUACAAAUGGUUGGUUUCUUUAUUUUAUUUUGUACUAUUUUUAUCAAUAAAUCUCAGCAACAAAGGAAAAAAAAACAUGUGUGUUGAUUUCUCCCUAAGAUGGCAAAGUGAAACAUAAGUUUCCUUGAAGUGGCUCAGCAUGGCCCCACAUUGUUUACAUAACAAAAGCAACUGUUCACAGCUGAUUAAGGAUAUUAGCCUAAAGCCUUCCAGCCCAUCGGCUGUCCUGUGGGUUUUAUAGGUAGAAAAGCCAAAUGGCUGCUCUCGGGGACUUCUAGUGUUAAAUAUCGCAACACCCUUUCCAAAUCUUGGUUGGCCCGCUCUGUCUGACCAUUGCUCUGGGGAAGGAACCCAGAAGAAAGACUCACAUUCGCUCCUAGCAAUCGACAAAACUCCUUCCAGAAUUUGUAAAUAAACUGAGGUCCUCUGUCAAAGACCACGUCUAUAGGGAGGCCAUGCAUUCAAAAGACAUGGUCAAUGUCAGUAACCGCUGUCUCCCUGGCAGAAGGAAUUUUAGGCAGGGGAAUAAAAUGGGCUGCCUUCGAGAACCGGUCCACCACAGUAAGAACCACCAUGUUGCCCUUGGAGGGUGGGAGAGCUGCAACAAAAUCUAGUGCAAUAUUUGACUAGGUUCUCGAAAGGACAGACAGCGGCUGAAGGAAACCCACCGGGGGCUGAUUGGAAGUCUUACCAACAGCGCAAACAGAACAGGCCAAAACAAAACUAUGGACAUCACGAGCCAAAGAGCCACCAGAAUCGUUGUUUAACCAGAAAAAUAGUACGAUUCACUCCUGGAUGACAAGCGAUUUUAGAAGAGUGACCCCAGCAGAUAACGUUGGACUGUAACUUCUCUGGUAUAAAUAAACAACUUGGUAGGAAACCGAACGGAGGGGUUACCCAUUGUAAGGCAUUUUGAACCUUCGAUUCGAUCUCCCAAGUAACCACAGAAAUGACCAGUCUCACUGGCAUGAUGGAACUGGGAGAGGAUGGACAUUUGGAAUGAUCAAA